CCCUACGGGAGGCAGCAGUGGGGAAUAUUGCACAAUGGGGGGAACCCUGAUGCAGCGAUGCCGCGUGGAGGAAGAAGGUUUUCGGAUUGUAAACUCCUUUUAUCAGGGACGAUAAUGACGGUACCUGAAGAAAAAGCUCCGGCUAACUACGUGCCAGCAGCCGCGGUAAUACGGAGGAUGCGAGCGUUAUCCGGAUUUAUUGGGUUUAAAGGGUGCGCAGGCGGUCUGUUAAGUCAGCGGUCAAAGCCCGGGGCUCAACCCCGGCCCGCCGUUGAAACUGGCAGUCUCGAGUUGGAGAGACGUAU
RNAcentral lists this ribosomal RNA (305 nucleotides) under uncultured bacterium. RNAcentral describes it as "bacterial SSU rRNA". It matches the Rfam family "Bacterial small subunit ribosomal RNA", at positions 337 to 660 of the family's 1533-position model. The record is from RNAcentral.